CGAGUUGCCCGAGCGGCCAAAGGGAUCUGACUGUAAAUCAGACGGCACAGCCUUCGGGGGUUCGAAUCCCUCACUCGCCACACCA
RNAcentral lists this transfer RNA (85 nucleotides) under Amycolatopsis lurida NRRL 2430. RNAcentral describes it as "tRNA-Tyr". It matches the Rfam family "tRNA". Rfam says of the family: Transfer RNA (tRNA) molecules are approximately 80 nucleotides in length. Their secondary structure includes four short double-helical elements and three loops (D, anti-codon, and T loops). The record is from RNAcentral. Lineage: Bacteria; Bacillati; Actinomycetota; Actinomycetes; Pseudonocardiales; Pseudonocardiaceae.